UACGUAGGGUGCGAGCGUUGUCCGGAAUUAUUGGGCGUAAAGGGCUCGUAGGCGGUCUGUCACGUCAGGAGUGAAAACUCGGGGCUCAACCCCGAGCCUGCUUCUGAUACGGGCAGACUGGAGGUAUGCAGGGGAGAACGGAAUUCCUGGUGUAGCGGUGAAAUGCGCAGAUAUCAGGAGGAACACCGGUGGCGAAGGCGGUUCUCUGGGCAUUACCUGACGCUGGGGCACGAAGGCCAGGGGAGCAAACGGG
RNAcentral lists this ribosomal RNA (253 nucleotides) under uncultured bacterium. RNAcentral describes it as "partial 16S ribosomal RNA". It matches the Rfam family "Bacterial small subunit ribosomal RNA", at positions 524 to 776 of the family's 1533-position model. The record is from RNAcentral.